ACACGACUACAUUAGAUACCCCUGUAGUCCCAGCCCUAAACGAUGCGCGUUAGGUGUAUCGGUGACCACGAGUCACCGAGGUGCCGAAGGGAAACCGUGAAACGUGCCGCCUGGGAAGUACGGUCGCAAGGCUGAAACUUAAAGGAAUUGGCGGGGAGCACCACAACGGGUGGAGCUUGCGGUUUAAUUGGAUUCAACGCCGGAAAUCUUACCGGGACCGACAGCAACAUGAAGGCCAGGCUGAGGACUUUGCCGGAUUAGCUG
RNAcentral lists this ribosomal RNA (264 nucleotides) under uncultured archaeon. RNAcentral describes it as "partial 16S ribosomal RNA". It matches the Rfam family "Archaeal small subunit ribosomal RNA", at positions 717 to 982 of the family's 1478-position model. The record is from RNAcentral.